Protopterus annectens (West African lungfish) is the source of this 165-nucleotide small nuclear RNA. RefSeq annotates it as U1 spliceosomal RNA. The record is from RefSeq and is a predicted model, not a curated record. The transcript has a single exon. Lineage: Eukaryota; Metazoa; Chordata; Ceratodontiformes; Protopteridae.
AUACUUACCUGGCAGGGGGAAUACCACGAUCAAGAAGGUGGUUUCCCCAGGGUGAGGCUCUUCCAUUGCACACUUCUGUUGGGUUGACCCCUGUGAUUUCCCCAAAUGUGGCAAACUCAACUGCAUAAUUUAGGAUCCAGAAUCACCUUAUGGCAGACAUUCAGU